AUUGAACGCUGGCGGAAUGCUUUACACAUGCAAGUCGAACGGCAGCACGGGUGCUUGCACCUGGUGGCGAGUGGCGAACGGGUGAGUAAUAUAUCGGAACGUAUCCAAUAAUGGGGGAUAACUAGCCGAAAGGUUAGCUAAUACCGCAUACGCCCUGAGGGGGAAAGCUGGGGAUCGUAAGACCUAGCGUUGAUGGAGCGGCCGAUAUCUGAUUAGCUAGUUGGUGGGGUAAGAGCCUACCAAGGCGACGAUCAGUAGCUGGUCUGAGAGGACGAGCGACGAUACUGGAACUGAGACACGGUCCAGACUCCUACGGGAGGGAUGAGUGGGGAAUGUUGUACAAUGGGGGCAACCCUGAUCCUGCCAUUCCGCGUGAGUGAAGAAGGCCUUCGGGUUGUAAAGCUCUUUCGCAAGGGAAGAAAACUCGAUCUCUAAUAGAGGUUGAGGCUGACGGUACCUUGAUAAGAAGCACCGGCUAACUCCGUGCCAGCAGCCGCCGUAA
Molecule: ribosomal RNA, 502 nt
Filed under: uncultured bacterium
Lineage: Bacteria
Description: partial 16S ribosomal RNA
Rfam family: Bacterial small subunit ribosomal RNA
Source: RNAcentral